UGUGCGCUUUUCCUGCUUCUCACCAGAAAAACUAUGCAAGUCAUUACCCACAACCUUGUCAUCUGAAUCACCAUUUGCAUCCUUCAAAAUCAGCUGCACAUGCUGAGGACGAGGAGGGCGCUUGUCCUUUUCAAAAUUUGAGGUUUGAUUUUGCUGCUCAGACUGGACCCCAGAAGAUUGGUUUUGGCGUGAGUCCUUGUUUAAAAGUAUGCUUCUGAUUAUCCUGCCACUGGCCUCGCGUCGCUGGCUCUGUUUGAG
Molecule: unclassified non-coding RNA, 258 nt
Filed under: Hevea brasiliensis (rubber tree)
Lineage: Eukaryota; Viridiplantae; Streptophyta; Magnoliopsida; Malpighiales; Euphorbiaceae
Source: RNAcentral